UAGGGGUACUUGAUCUCAAGAUCGCGAGCUCUCCCAAGCUCGUACCCCGCGUGACAGUAGGUUUAUUAUGUGAUCUAGUUGUUUAUAACAACCUAAAAAUAUACAGGAGUCGCCAUUAGCCUCAUUUUUGGGGGUCGGCUAGAAACCCAAUCGAGGGUCGGGAGUGUUCCCUCGAUUCCUACGCAACCAGAAAUCUAGGUUCGGGGACUUGGGUUACGCUAAUAUUGCUAUUAGCGCCCUUUCGGUACCUAAACAGUAUGUUGUGUUUUUCCUAACAUGUUCAUGCAUUUCUUUUUAUAUUUUCAGAAUCGUUAAUUCUAUAAUAAAUGAUCAUGCGUGGUGGAUUACUUUCAUUCUAUUCUAUUCCUAAGAAAUGAAAAGAAAACAAACAAUGAAUAUGAAAUUGCAAGACAUGAAGUAAACAAUCAAGAAAAGUAGUUAAACCUAAUCAUGCAAUUCUAAAAAAGAUAAAAGAGAAAACACAAUUAAGAAAAAUGAGGAAAAAAGGAAAACCCGCAACUCGUCGGGUUUUAUACAACACAAGGAACCCGAGACAUAUGUCGGGAGAGAAACGAAUAUUACAGAAUAACGGUCGGAGUGGACAUCGACCUCCACCAUCUUCACUUCUUCUCCACUUUUAGGAUCCUAUUCUAAACCUAAUCUAGGAAAUCUGGAUGAUUAGAUGCAUACAAAUGAAAGAAACAAUCAUCACGUAUCAAAACAAUCAAAAGCAAGACAUUUUUUAUGUUCACAAAUUGUGACUAAAGUCACGAAAUCCCUAAGUCAAGUUCUAUGCGGCAUCCCAAAGGCACUUACAUUAUCCUACAUCGCACCUAAGUCAUUUAUCUGACAAUCACAUGCGAAGCAUAAUUGACAUGCAUUUAGACCAUAUGGUCUUGAUUCUUAAUCAAUCCAAACCAAUGAGUAAACCAACUAAGGAUCACUUAUUCAAACACAUGCACCAUUGAAUUCGCUCAACACAUGUAUUCAAGGGGAACGAAGCAGGCAAUAUGUAACCCACAGGAUAUCUAAAACCGCUUUGUAGACAAUUGACAAAGGACGUUAUUUCAUGAAGAAAGCAUUUCAAGAUUCCUAAAGCAUGAAUUUCUAAAAAUACUAGAAUGUGAACUAGUCAGUCUAUAAUAGAACAAGGCAACAUGUAACAUAGGUGUUUUACAACAUAGUGAAUGCAAUUGGA
This 1198-nucleotide long non-coding RNA is filed under the name Eucalyptus grandis. RNAcentral describes it as "long non-coding RNA (EGRA_LNC003051)". Lineage: Eukaryota; Viridiplantae; Streptophyta; Magnoliopsida; Myrtales; Myrtaceae. The record is from RNAcentral.